GGGGAAUAUUGGACAAUGGGGGAAACCCUGAUCCAGCAAUGCCGCGUGGGUGAAGACGGCCUGCGGGUUGUAAAGCCCUUUAGGCGGGGAGGAACGGCGUCGCGCGAACAGUGCGGCGCUCUGACGUUACCCGCGGAAUAAGCACCGGCUAACUCCGUGCCAGCAGCCGCGGUAAUACGGAGGGUGCGAGCGUUAAUCGGAAUUACUGGGCGUAAAGCGUGCGUAGGCGGAUGGGUCAGUCAGCCGUGAAAGCCCCGGGCUCAACCUGGGAACGGCGGUUGAGACGGCCCGUCUCGAGUGGGCUAGAGGAUCGUGGAAUUCCGGGUAUAGCGGUGAAAUGCGUAGAGAUCCGGAGGAACACCGAUGGCGAAGGCAGCGGUCUGGGGCCACACUGACGCUGAGGCACGAAAGCGUGGGGAGCAAAC
This 425-nucleotide ribosomal RNA is filed under the name uncultured bacterium. RNAcentral's name for it is "bacterial SSU rRNA". It matches the Rfam family "Bacterial small subunit ribosomal RNA", at positions 356 to 773 of the family's 1533-position model. The record is from RNAcentral.